CUUUUAUCAGGAGAAGGUGGAGGGACAGGCCCGAUGAAACCCAGCAACCACUUGCCGAGUGCAGGAAUGGUGCCAACCUGGCAAAACACAACUCUGUGUUCUGCAAGAUAAGAG
Molecule: non-coding RNA, 114 nt
Filed under: Geomicrobium sp. JCM 19039
Lineage: Bacteria; Bacillati; Bacillota; Bacilli; Caryophanales
Also listed under: 1 other name
Description: SAM riboswitch aptamer (S box leader)
Rfam family: SAM riboswitch aptamer (S box leader)
About the family: The SAM riboswitch is found upstream of a number of genes which code for proteins involved in methionine or cysteine biosynthesis in Gram-positive bacteria. The SAM riboswitch acts at the level of transcription termination control.
Source: Rfam by way of RNAcentral